UCUUGGUCAUUUAGAGGAAGUAAAAGUCGUAACAAGGUCUCCGUUGGUGAACCAGCGGAGGGAUCAUUAUCGAGUUAUUCAACUCCCAAACCCUAUGUGAACUUACCACUUGUUGCUUCGGCGCGCGCUUCGGCGCCGCCGAGGACACUUAAACUCUUUGUUUUUAUAAGCAUUUCUGAGUGGCCGAAAGGCAAAAAUACAAAUGAAUCAAAACUUUCAACAACGGAUCUCUUGGUUCUGGCAUCGAUGAAGAACGCAGCGAAAUGCGAUAAGUAAUGUGAAUUGCAGAAUUCAGUGAAUCAUCGAAUCUUUGAACGCACAUUGCGCCCGCCAGCAUUCUGGCAGGCAUGCCUGUUCGAGCGUCAUUUCAACCCUCGAGCCCGACUCUUUUGAGGGCGGCUCGGCGUUGGGGGACGGCAGACUCCCCCCGGCAUCUCGCCGGGGACGCCGCCCCCGAAAUCUAGUGGCGGCCCUCCGAGGCGACCUCUGCGUAGUAACUUGUUCUCGCACCGGAAAGCUCAGAGCGGCCACGCCGUAAAACCCCAACUUUUUUCAGGUUGACCUCGAAUCAGGUAGGACUA
Molecule: ribosomal RNA, 581 nt
Filed under: uncultured eukaryote
Lineage: Eukaryota
Description: eukaryotic LSU rRNA
Rfam family: 5.8S ribosomal RNA (bases 212-365)
Source: RNAcentral